This 253-nucleotide ribosomal RNA is filed under the name uncultured bacterium. RNAcentral describes it as "partial 16S ribosomal RNA". It matches the Rfam family "Bacterial small subunit ribosomal RNA", at positions 524 to 776 of the family's 1533-position model. The record is from RNAcentral.
UACAGAAGCCUCGAGCGUUGUUCGGAAUUACUGGGCGUAAAGGGAAUGUAGGCGGUGACGUAAGUCAGAUGUGAAAGCCCCGGGCUUAACCUGGGAAGUGCAUUUGAUACUGCGUUGCUAGAGUGUGUGAGAGGAAAGCGGAAUUCCCAGUGUAGGGGUGAAAUCCGUAGAUAUUGGGAGGAAUACCGAUGGCGUAGGCAGCUUUCUGGCACAUAACUGACGCUGAGAUUCGAAAGCAUGGGGAGCAAACAGG